CCAACCUCUGGCCCAGGUUAAGCCCUCCCUGACCUGAUGGAUGGAUGCCUCGAAGGCCUGGAACCAUUUUGUCCUUUCUUGUGACUACUUGUCCAGAGCGUCAAAAUUUAACACUCAGUUAAGAAUGCCUGUUUAUUCCUAUGUGUACAUAUGUGACAAUGAUUAAUGAAGAGGCCAUGAAUCUGAAAGAUAGCAAGGGUCUAGGAUCCUUCCAAAUACAGCCACGGGAGUGUUUCUUGGUGAUUCUAAGUCCAGUGACGUUGACAAUGGUCAUCACUACUUGAUAAAGUGGUACAAACCUUGGCACCUCAUCUUCGGGACUUUCUCCAAUGAAACGUGCAAACCUGAGCUCAUCCAGUGGGGGAAGAUGCUUUGAGGAUAACUCAGGAAGAGCCAUGACAUCGACAGGCAACGGCAGCUGAACCCACCAUGUACGCCAUGGUCCCUCUAACAUAGCCCUGGCUAUUCCAGGGCUCACUGUGUCGUUGGCCUCGAAAUCACAGAUCUGCCUGCCUUUCCCUUCCAAGGCUGGGACUAAAGGAUCGUGCUGACACCCAGCGCCUCUUGGACUCUUGCUGUGGACUCUUGCCCUCCUGCCUUCUGCCUCGGAUGACACAAUAUGAAGACCCUCACCAGGGCCAUGCUGGCAAAAUGUGCUUGAGAUUUCCCGGCCUCCAGAACCAUUAGCUGUUAAAUAAAUGUCUGUUGUCUAUGAAGUA
RNAcentral lists this small RNA (719 nucleotides) under Rattus norvegicus (Norway rat). RNAcentral describes it as "uncharacterized LOC102555452". The record is from RNAcentral. Lineage: Eukaryota; Metazoa; Chordata; Mammalia; Rodentia; Muridae.